RNAcentral lists this ribosomal RNA (497 nucleotides) under uncultured bacterium. Its description in RNAcentral is "partial 16S ribosomal RNA". It matches the Rfam family "Bacterial small subunit ribosomal RNA", at positions 28 to 507 of the family's 1533-position model. The record is from RNAcentral.
GAUGAACGCUGGCGGCGUGCCUAAUACAUGCAAGUCGAGCGAACAGACGAGGAGCUUGCUCCUCUGACGUUAGCGGCGGACGGGUGAGUAACACGUGGAUAACCUACCUAUAAGACUGGGAUAACUUCGGGAAACCGGAGCUAAUACCGGAUAAUAUAUUGAACCGCAUGGUUCAAUAGUGAAAGACGGUUUUGCUGUCACUUAUAGAUGGAUCCGCGCCGCAUUAGCUAGUUGGUAAGGUAACGGCUUACCAAGGCAACGAUGCGUAGCCGACCUGAGAGGGUGAUCGGCCACACUGGAACUGAGACACGGUCCAGACUCCUACGGGAGGCAGCAGUAGGGAAUCUUCCGCAAUGGGCGAAAGCUUGACGGAGCAACGCCGCGUGAGUGAUGAAGGUCUUCGGAUCGUAAAACUCUGUUAUUAGGGAAGAACAAAUGUGUAAGUAACUAUGCACGUCUUGACGGUACCUAAUCAGAAAGCCAUGGCUAACUACGUG